RNAcentral lists this ribosomal RNA (400 nucleotides) under uncultured bacterium. RNAcentral describes it as "bacterial SSU rRNA". It matches the Rfam family "Bacterial small subunit ribosomal RNA", at positions 355 to 767 of the family's 1533-position model. The record is from RNAcentral.
UGGGGAAUAUUGCGCAAUGGGCGAAAGCCUGACGCAGCGACGCCGCGUGAGGGAUGAAGGCCUUCGGGUUGUAAACCUCUUUCAGCAGGGAAGAAGCGAAAGUGACGGUACCUGCAGAAGAAGCACCGGCUAACUACGUGCCAGCAGCCGCGGUAAUACGUAGGGUGCAAGCGUUGUCCGGAAUUAUUGGGCGUAAAGAGCUCGUAGGCGGUUUGUCACGUCUGCUGUGAAAAUUCGGGGCUUAACCCCGGACUUGCAGUGGGUACGGGCAGACUAGAGUGUGGUAGGGGAGACUGGAAUUCCUGGUGUAGCGGUGAAAUGCGCAGAUAUCAGGAGGAACACCGGUGGCGAAGGCGGGUCUCUGGGCCAUAACUGACGCUGAGGAGCGAAAGCAUGGGUA